GCGAGAGUGCUGGAAUUGGCAGACAGGCUAGCUUGAGGUGCUAGUGUUCGUAAGAGCGUACGGGUUCAAGUCCCGUCUUUCGCACCA
Molecule: transfer RNA, 87 nt
Filed under: Lachnospiraceae bacterium
Lineage: Bacteria; Bacillati; Bacillota; Clostridia; Lachnospirales; Lachnospiraceae
Description: tRNA-Leu
Rfam family: tRNA
About the family: Transfer RNA (tRNA) molecules are approximately 80 nucleotides in length.
Source: RNAcentral